This 72-nucleotide transfer RNA is filed under the name [Clostridium] clostridioforme 90A1. Its description in RNAcentral is "tRNA-Gln". It matches the Rfam family "tRNA". From Rfam's summary of the family: Transfer RNA (tRNA) molecules are approximately 80 nucleotides in length. Lineage: Bacteria; Bacillati; Bacillota; Clostridia; Lachnospirales; Lachnospiraceae. RNAcentral also lists the same sequence under 1 other name. The record is from RNAcentral.
UGGGCAUUGGUGAAAUGGUAAGGCACAGGACUUUGACUCCUGCAUUCGUUGGUUCAAAUCCAACAUGCCCAG